Molecule: ribosomal RNA, 253 nt
Filed under: uncultured bacterium
Lineage: Bacteria
Description: partial 16S ribosomal RNA
Rfam family: Bacterial small subunit ribosomal RNA
Source: RNAcentral
UACAGAGGUCCCAAGCGUUGUUCGGAUUCAUUGGGCGUAAAGGGUGCGUAGGUGGCGCGGUAAGUCGGGUGUGAAAUCUCGGGGCUUAACUCCGAAACUGCAUUCGAUACUGCCGUGCUUGAGGACUGGAGAGGAGACUGGAAUUUACGGUGUAGCGGUGAAAUGCGUAGAUAUCGUAAGGAAGACCAGUGGCGAAGGCGGGUCUCUGGACAGUUCCUGACGCUGAGGCACGAAGGUCAGGGGAGCAAACGGG